CCUACGGGCGGCAGCAGUGAGGAAUAUUGGUCAAUGGGCGCGAGCCUGAACCAGCCAAGUAGCGUGAAGGAUGACUGCCCUACGGGUUGUAAACCUCUUUUAUCAAGGAAUAAAGUGCGGCACGUGUGCCUUUUGUAGGUACUUUAUGAAUAAGGCACGGCUAACUCCGUGCCAGCAGCCGCGGUAAUAAGGAGGAUCCGAGCGUUUACCGGAUUUAAUGGGGUUAAAGGGAGCGUAGAUGGGUUGUUAAGGCAGUUGUGAAAGUUGGCGGCUCAACCGUAAAAUUGCAAUUGAUACUGGCAGUCUUGAGUGCAGGUGAGGUAGGCGGAAUGCGUGGUGUAGCGGUGAAAUGCUUAGAUAUCACGAAGAACUCCGAUUGCGAAGGCAGCUUACUAAACUGCCACUGACAUUGAUGCUCGAAAGUGUGGGUAUCAAACAGGAUUAGAUACCCCGGUAGUC
This 459-nucleotide ribosomal RNA is filed under the name uncultured bacterium. Its description in RNAcentral is "partial 16S ribosomal RNA". It matches the Rfam family "Bacterial small subunit ribosomal RNA", at positions 338 to 795 of the family's 1533-position model. The record is from RNAcentral.